AUUAUCGUCCCCAGAAAUUCGGCUCUGGCCCUCAGCUUACAAACCCGACUCAACCGUGGAGUUAGCCGGCCCAGCCCAUCUUUGCAAGCAGCAUUUGCCGAGCACCUACUAUGUGACCGAAGAGGACAUUUUAUGCUGAGUAGGGAUCUCCUCAGAGCGGAGCCACAAAGCCUGGGACAAAGGGAUCUUUGGAGAUAUUUUUUUCAAGCAAUCUCUACACCCAAUGUGGGGCUCGAAGUUACAGCCCCGAGAUCAAGAGUCUCACGCCCACUGACGGAGCCCGCCAGGUGCCUGCCCCGUCUUUGUUUCUUUUAAAGGAUAAGGAGUGCACGGUGAUUUUGCCAAAUCUGAGGAGGCCAAUAGCUCCUCUGGACAAUGAUCUGUCAAACCGAUGAAGGAAAAUUGCAGAAAAUGUGCACAAAGCUGUGGAGGGAGAAACGGACGUCAGAGGAAGUUCAGUGUCUUCACGGUUAGGACUGGUGGCCCGAAAGAAAAUAGACCCACAAAACUUAUGAGCCGAUGAGCUCUGAGUCACAGUGACAGGCCAGGCAAGGCUCCAGGAGGCAUCCCACACGGUUCCUGCAGAAUUGACUCCAGAGCCCAUAAGGCCAGAUUGGAAUGUUAGCAGGUAAAGCCCUGGCAACCCAAAAGGAGCCAGGCUGAGAACAAGCUGGAGGGUUGCACACUGCCCCAUACCUUUAAUUCUGAGUGGCCAUCAACUGCAAGACAUACCAUUAAUUUAAUAACAGACUUGGGGGAGACCCUCUCCCAUCAAAUGUACACCCUGAUUAUAAUAUACAUCCAAACUUCGUCGACACCAAAUGGUUAAAAAAAAAAAAAAAGCAGCUGUCCCCUGAGAACCCAUGUUAUUUAGUGAGACCCUACUUUGUUGCCUCAUUUCUUUUAACCUCAUUUUAUUCGAACAAUCCUCUGGGGAAACACAGGUUUGAUAACUAGCCUAGGGUUUCCUGACCCUAGUAAGCGACAAAGCUGAGUUUACAAUUCAAACUGAGCUGUCAAGGACAUUCCAGAGGGUCAUCAGGCAAAAAUAGUAAUCAGGAAACCACUUUCCAGACCCUCGGCUUCCACAGGCCCUCUUUCCUAAAAUGGAGUUGCUUGCGAAUGAGAGAAUUCACACACUAGGGCUCCCCCCGCUUUACAAAAGAAGGGGGACCCGACCUGGGGGAGAGUUGCCUGGAGAAUUCCAGACUCGCAGGGCCUGCUGCCCUCCUGUUCUGGUGGUUGGAGGAAUAGCAAUUUUCAUUUAAUAACUUUGUUCUUCUUUCCUCCUCCUUUUAUCAAAGAAUGCCCACUCUUGAGGGAGAGUCCUAUGAAGGCAAAGAGAAAAAGUAUUCACGGCUAUGAUGGUUUUCUCCGCUUAUUCAAAUGUCAUCAAGAAAAUACUCUGAAGCCUUAAAAAUAUAUCUGGACAGAAGUCUGUGAAGGAAGUAGGAUUAGUAACACACGUUCAAGGAGAUAAAAAGAUGUAAAGGUUCUAAAUGAUAAAUGAGAUUUUUUUCAUACAUUUUUCAGUGGAUCAUAGUGGGUAUGAAAUCAUAGACGUUAUAGUCAUUGGAUGUUAUAUUUCACUGGAUAAAUUUAAAAGUGUGACGUAACAGUUAGUUUUAAAUAUCAAUAUUUACAAUACGCCAGAAAUCACACUCUUUGCAGCUAUUUAAACUUAGAUAAACAAUUUUUAUGUUUCAUUUUUAAAAUGUGCUGGAGGCAGGGAGUGAAUAAUUUUAGGAAAUUAUGUUAGGGGUAUGUAAAUGAGCAAGCAAAGCUGGAGGCUGCCCCUGCCAGUGUGAUGAAAUUUUGUGCUUUCUUGCACUUCUCUAAACUAGCCCUUAGGACCUUCUCAAUACUUGGGUAAUAAUUACAUCAAAAGGCAAUGAAGAUGUGGGGGGAGGAGGGAUGGGGAGACGUUGGUAAAUGUUUCAGUUAUGAGUAAGUCCUGGGGAUCUAAUGUACAGCACGGUGACUAUAGUUAAUGAUAUGGUAUUGUAUACUUCAAAUAUGCUAAAAGAGAGCUUAAAUGUUCUCACUAGCAAGAGAAAAAGGUAAAAAAAAAAACAAAAAAGAAAAAA
Long non-coding RNA from Ailuropoda melanoleuca (giant panda), 2087 nucleotides. RefSeq lists it as uncharacterized. NCBI's taxonomy places the organism in Eukaryota, Metazoa, Chordata, Mammalia, Carnivora, Ursidae. The record is from RefSeq and is a predicted model, not a curated record. The transcript is spliced from 3 exons.